Molecule: ribosomal RNA, 450 nt
Filed under: uncultured bacterium
Lineage: Bacteria
Description: partial 16S ribosomal RNA
Rfam family: Bacterial small subunit ribosomal RNA
Source: RNAcentral
GUGGGGAAUAUUGGACAAUGGGCGAAAGCCUGAUCCAGCCAUGCCGCGUGUGUGAAGAAGGUCUUCGGAUUGUAAAGCACUUUAAGUUGGGAGGAAGGGCAGUAAGUUAAUACCUUGCUGUUUUGACGUUACCAACAGAAUAAGCACCGGCUAACUUCGUGCUAGCAGCCGCGGUAAUACGAAGGGUGCAAGCGUUAAUCGGAAUUACUGGGCGUAAAGCGCGCGUAGGUGGUUCAGCAAGUUGAAGGUGAAAUCCCCGGGCUCAACCUGGGAACUGCCUCCAAAACUACUGAGCUAGAGUACGGUAGAGGGUAGUGAAAUUUCCUGUGUAGCGGUGAAAUGCGUAGAUAUAGGAAGGAACACCAGUGGCGAAGGCGACUACCUGGACUGAUACUGACACUGAGGUGCGAAAGCGUGGGGAGCAAACAGGAUUAGAAACCCCUGUAGUCC